RNAcentral lists this ribosomal RNA (433 nucleotides) under uncultured bacterium. RNAcentral describes it as "partial 16S ribosomal RNA". It matches the Rfam family "Bacterial small subunit ribosomal RNA", at positions 29 to 507 of the family's 1533-position model. The record is from RNAcentral.
AACGAACGCUGGCGGCAUGCCUAACACAUGCAAGUCGAACGAGACCUUCGGGUUUAGUGGCGCACGGGUGCGUAACGCGUGGGAACCUGCCUUUAGGUUCGGAAUAACUCCCCGAAAGGGGUGCUAAUACCGGAUAUUGUCUUCGGACCAUAGAUUUAUCGCCUUUGGAUGGGCCCGCGUUGGAUUAGUUAGUUGGUAGGGUAAAUGCCUACCAAGGCGACGUUCCAUAGCUGGUCAGAGAGGAUGGUCAGCCACACUGGGACUGAGACACGGCCCAGACUCCUGCGGGAGGCAGCAGUGGGGAAUAUAGGACAAUGGGCGGAAGCCUGAUCCAGCAAUGCCGCGUGAGUGAUGAAGGCCUUAGGGUUGUAAAGCUCUUUUACCCGGGAUGAUAAUGACAGUACCGGGAGAAUAAGCUCCGGCUAACUCCGUG